UAUGGAGAGUUUGAUCCUGGCUCAGAGUGAACGCUGGCGGCGUGCCUAAUACAUGCAAGUCGAACGAUGAAGCUUCUAGCUUGCUAGAAUGCUGAUUAGUGGCGCACGGGUGAGUAACGCAUAGGUCAUGUGCCUCUUAGUUUGGGAUAGCCAUUGGAAACGAUGAUUAAUACCAGAUACUCCCUACGGGGGAAAGAUUUAUCGCUAAGAGAUCAGCCUAUGUCCUAUCAGCUUGUUGGUAAGGUAAUGGCUUACCAAGGCUAUGACGGGUAUCCGGCCUGAGAGGGUGAACGGACACACUGGAACUGAGACACGGUCCAGACUCCUACGGGAGGCAGCAGUAGGGAAUAUUGCUCAAUGGGGGAAACCCUGAAGCAGCAACGCCGCGUGGAGGAUGAAGGUUUUAGGAUUGUAAACUCCUUUUGUUAGAGAAGAUAAUGACGGUAUCUAACGAAUAAGCACCGGCUAACUCCGUGCCAGCAGCCGCGGUAAUACGGAGGGUGCAAGCGUUACUCGGAAUCACUGGGCGUAAAGAGCGCGUAGGCGGGAUAGUCAGUCAGGUGUGAAAUCCUAUGGCUUAACCAUAGAACUGCAUUUGAAACUACUAUUCUAGAGUGUGGGAGAGGUAGGUGGAAUUCUUGGUGUAGGGGUAAAAUCCGUAGAGAUCAAGAGGAAUACUCAUUGCGAAGGCGACCUGCUGGAACAUUACUGACGCUGAUUGCGCGAAAGCGUGGGGAGCAAACAGGAUUAGAUACCCUGGUAGUCCACGCCCUAAACGAUGGAUGCUAGUUGUUGGAGGGCUUAGUCUCUCCAGUAAUGCAGCUAACGCAUUAAGCAUCCCGCCUGGGGAGUACGGUCGCAAGAUUAAAACUCAAAGGAAUAGACGGGGACCCGCACAAGCGGUGGAGCAUGUGGUUUAAUUCGAAGAUACACGAAGAACCUUACCUAGGCUUGACAUUGAGAGAAUCCGCUAGAAAUAGUGGAGUGUCUGGCUUGCCAGACCUUGAAAACAGGUGCUGCACGGCUGUCGUCAGCUCGUGUCGUGAGAUGUUGGGUUAAGUCCCGCAACGAGCGCAACCCCCUUUCUUAGUUGCUAACAGGUUAUGCUGAGAACUCUAAGGAUACUGCCUCCGUAAGGAGGAGGAAGGUGGGGACGACGUCAAGUCAUCAUGGCCCUUACGCCUAGGGCUACACACGUGCUACAAUGGGGUGCACAAAGAGAAGCAAUACUGCGAAGUGGAGCCAAUCUUCAAAACACCUCUCAGUUCGGAUUGUAGGCUGCAACUCGCCUGCAUGAAGCUGGAAUCGCUAGUAAUCGCAAAUCAGCCAUGUUGCGGUGAAUACGUUCCCGGGUCUUGUACUCACCGCCCGUCACACCAUGGGAGUUGUGUUUGCCUUAAGUCAGGAUGCUAAAUUGGCUACUGCCCACGGCAUACACAGCGACUGGGGUGAAGUCGUAACAAGGUAACCGUAGGUGAACCUGCGGUUGGAUCACCUCCUU
Molecule: ribosomal RNA, 1501 nt
Filed under: Helicobacter pylori
Lineage: Bacteria; Pseudomonadati; Campylobacterota; Epsilonproteobacteria; Campylobacterales; Helicobacteraceae
Description: bacterial SSU rRNA
Rfam family: Bacterial small subunit ribosomal RNA
Source: RNAcentral